Molecule: transfer RNA, 58 nt
Filed under: Philodromus sp.
Lineage: Eukaryota; Metazoa; Arthropoda; Arachnida; Araneae; Philodromidae
Description: tRNA-Ile
Source: RNAcentral
AAUAAAGUGCCUGAUUAAAGGGUUAAUUUGAUAGAUUAAAUAAUGAAAUUUGAUAAUU